This 433-nucleotide unclassified non-coding RNA is filed under the name Utricularia dichotoma. RNAcentral's name for it is "partial external transcribed spacer". The stretch from base 383 to 433 matches the Rfam family "Eukaryotic small subunit ribosomal RNA", at positions 1 to 51 of the family's 1831-position model. The record is from RNAcentral. Lineage: Eukaryota; Viridiplantae; Streptophyta; Magnoliopsida; Lamiales; Lentibulariaceae.
CUAUGCUCGGAGGUAUUCGAAUCUCCGGUCGGAUUUUGUUGCUUGUGCCUCGUACCUCAGUGUCGGCAUCAGCAUUGUCCCAAAGAACGGCCAGUUGUCCCAGUUUUCGUGUCUCGGUGCUCAUGUGUCCCUGUCACGGGGCUGGCUUGGAAACAUCGAUAGCGCUCGCUCAUCKACUACUAACGUUGUCGCGGGCGUGGCGUGAUCGAUGUUCGAUCUCUCGUGCGCGGAAUGCCCAUCGGCGCGGUGGUUCACCGAACCCCGCUAAAUAGACCCUCGAUGAAAAGUCGUCCGAUGCAAUCUUGAGCGACCAUCGURCCUGCGAAUGUGUUUGCCGCCGAGAAGGCGCAGCGCAUGCAGUGCCGAUGUCGUACGGGAACGCUACCUGGUUGAUCCUGCCAGUAGUCAUAUGCUUGUCUCAAAGAUUAAGCCA